CAGUAGCCGCGGGAAUACGUAGGGUCCGAGCGUUGUCCGGAAUUUUUGGGCGUAAAGGGCUCGUAGGCGGUUUGUUGCGUCGGGAGUGAAAACACCAGGCUUAACUUGGUGCUUGCUUUCGAUACGGGCAGACUUGAGGCAUGCAGGGGAGAACGGAAUUCCUGGUGUAGCGGUGAAAUGCGCAGAUAUCAGGAGGAACACCGGUUGCGAAGGCGGUUCUCUGGGCAUGUUCUGACGCUGAGGAGCGAAAGUGUGGGGAGCGAACAGGAUUAGAUACCCCAGUAGUCCCUGUCUCUUAUAC
RNAcentral lists this ribosomal RNA (301 nucleotides) under uncultured bacterium. Its description in RNAcentral is "partial 16S ribosomal RNA". It matches the Rfam family "Bacterial small subunit ribosomal RNA", at positions 509 to 807 of the family's 1533-position model. The record is from RNAcentral.